CACACAGGACAGGAGAGUAUACAAUGUGAUGACCCCACAAGCCACCAAACAAGCCCUGAACCAGCCACCAGGAGGACUGAAAAAGCUGAAGUCACUAUAAUCUGGGAUCUCCUGUUUCAGCAGCUUAGUCUGUAUCCUCAUCAAUACAGUGUAUCUAAGAAACUUAAAAACCUGUGCUUUACUCUCCAUAGGCUAAGAAUCAUCCAGAUAGUUUGUU
Molecule: long non-coding RNA, 217 nt
Filed under: Homo sapiens (human)
Lineage: Eukaryota; Metazoa; Chordata; Mammalia; Primates; Hominidae
Description: HSALNT0247810
Source: RNAcentral